RNAcentral lists this ribosomal RNA (531 nucleotides) under Trullifiorinia acaciae. Its description in RNAcentral is "partial 28S ribosomal RNA". The record is from RNAcentral. Lineage: Eukaryota; Metazoa; Arthropoda; Insecta; Hemiptera; Diaspididae.
AUCUGGGCGGCGGAAUUCAGGAUAGCCGUACGAGUCUCGCGCUCGUCCGGUUGUUUGAUAUUUCCGUCGCCGUGUCAGACGUCGCGACCUGUUUGUCGUCGGUCCUUGCUCGGAGGAAUCGCGAUCGAGUUCGUUGCGGGUGCGUUUCGGCGUGCUCCGCGGCGAAGGCGCGUCUUUCUGGCUGACGACGGACAGUAAGCAACGGUGUCCGAUGUCGUGUCUCGCACUCGAUGUCGGUGCCGGUCAGCGACGAUUUCUUCGGGCCUCUUUCCGACCCGUCUUGAAACACGGACCAAGGAGUCUAACAUGCGCGCGAGUCGCGGGGUUUCGAGCGUACCACGGUGCGCUCGUUACUUCCGAAACCCGUACGUUGAAGGCGUAAUGAAAGUGAACAGGGAAGAUGGCGUUCCGAGUCCACGUACCGUGAUCGAGUAUCGCGGCCGGACGCCCGCAUUCCCGGGGCGUCUCAAUGGUUCGUCGCGGAUGCGGACGAUCGUCUUUCGGGGCGGUCGUCGGUCUGCGACGGUCCGA